RNAcentral lists this ribosomal RNA (468 nucleotides) under uncultured bacterium. RNAcentral's name for it is "partial 16S ribosomal RNA". It matches the Rfam family "Bacterial small subunit ribosomal RNA", at positions 28 to 507 of the family's 1533-position model. The record is from RNAcentral.
GACGAACGCUGGCGGCGUGCUUAACACAUGCAAGUCGAACGGCAAGGCCCUGCUUUUGUGGGGUGCUCGAGUGGCGAACGGGUGAGUAACACGUGAGUAACCUGCCCUUGACUUUGGGAUAACUUCAGGAAACUGGGGCUAAUACCGGAUAGGAGCUCCUGCUGCAUGGUGGGGGUUGGAAAGUUUCGGCGGUUGGGGAUGGACUCGCGGCUUAUCAGCUUGUUGGUGGGGUAGUGGCUUACCAAGGCUUUGACGGGUAGCCGGCCUGAGAGGGUGACCGGCCACAUUGGGACUGAGAGACGGCCCAGACUCCUACGGGAGGCAGCAGUGGGGAAUAUUGCACAAUGGGCGGAAGCCUGAUGCAGCAACGCCGCGUGCGGGAUGACGGCCUUCGGGUUGUGAACCGCUUUCGCCUGUGACGAAGCGUGAGUGACGGUAAUGGGUAAAGAAGCACCGGCUAACUACGUG